Molecule: ribosomal RNA, 274 nt
Filed under: uncultured bacterium
Lineage: Bacteria
Description: partial 16S ribosomal RNA
Rfam family: Archaeal small subunit ribosomal RNA
Source: RNAcentral
AAACCAGCACCUCAAGUGGUCAGGAUGAUUAUUGGGCCUAAAGCAUCCGUAGCCUGUUCUGUAAGUUUUCGGUUAAAUCUGUAUGCUCAACAUACAGGCUGCCGGGAAUACUGCAGAACUAGGGAGUGGGAGAGGUAGACGGUACUCGGGAGGAAGUGGUAAAAUGCUUUGAUCUCUCGAUGACCACCUGUGGCGAAGGCGGUCUACCAGAACACGUCCGACGGUGAGGGAUGAAAGCUGGGGGAGCAAACCGGAUUAGAUACCCGAGUAGUCC